AGUGGAUGGGGAGCAACCUAGUUGUGCGUGUGUAAAGGUAGUGCCAAGAAAAGCGAUGAUCAUGUUGAAAAUCAAUUCCCGGUACCCGAAACCGACACAGGUGGGCAAGUAGAGAAUACUAAGGGGCGCGAGGUAACUCUCUCCAAGGAACUCGGCAAAAUGACCCCGUAACUUAGGGAGAAGGGGUGCCACCGAGAGGUGGUCGCAGUGAAGAGGCCCAGGCGACUGUUUAGCAAAAACAUAGGUCUCUGCAAACUCGAAAGAGGAGGUAUAGGGGCUGACGCCUGCCCAGUGCCGGAAGGUUAAAGAAGUUGGUCAGUUUUAGGAUGAAGCUAGCGACUGAAGCCCCGGUGAACGGCGGCCGUAACUAUAACGGUCCUAAGGUAGCGAAAUUCCUUGUCGGGUAAGUUCCGAUCCGCACGAAAGGCGUAACGAUCUGGGCGCUGUCUCGGAGAGAGGCUCGGCGAAAUAGGAUUGUCUGUGAAGAUACGGACUACCUGCAUUUGGACAGAAAGACCCUAUGAAGCUUUACUAUAGCUUGGAAUUGUGUUCGGGCUUCCUGUGCGCAGGAUAGGUGGGAGGCGUAGAAGGUAUUCUUGUGGGGAUACUGGAGCCAACGGUGAGAUACCACUCUCAGGAGGCUAGAAUUCUAACUUAAUUAAGGACAGUUUCAGGUGGGUAGUUUGACUGGGGCGGUCGCCUCCAAAAAGGUAACGGAGGCGUACAAAGGUUCCCUCAGACUGGUUGGAAAUCAGUCGAAGAGUGCAAAGGCAGAAGGGAGCUUGACUGCGAGAAGUACAGUUCGAGCAGGGUGGAAACACGGUCUUAGUGAUCCGACGGUGCUGUGUGGAAGGGCCGUCGCUCAACGGAUAAAAGUUACUCUAGGAUAACAGGCUGAUCUCCCCCAAGAGUUCACAUCGACGGGGAGGUUUGGCACCUCGAUGUCGGCUCAUCGCAACCUGGGGCGGAAGUACGUCCCAAGGGUUGGGCUGUUCGCCCAUUAAAGCGGUACGUGAGCUGGGUUCAGAACGUCGUGAGACAGUUCGGUCCAUAUCCGAUGUAGGCGUGAGAAUAUUGAGAGGAGCCUUCCUUAGUACGAGAGGACCGGGAAGGACGCACCGCUGGUGUACCUGUUAUGAUGCCAAUUGUAAACGCAGGGUAGCCAAGUGCGGAGAGGAUAACCGCUGAAAGCAUCUAAGUGGGAAGCCCACCUCAAGAUGAGUAUUCUGGUGUAAGGUCACGGGAAGACGACCCGUAAAUAGGCACGAGGUGGAAGUGCAGAGAUGUAUGAAGCCGAAGUGUACUAAUAGACCGUCGGC
This 1319-nucleotide ribosomal RNA is filed under the name metagenome. RNAcentral describes it as "bacterial LSU rRNA". It matches the Rfam family "Bacterial large subunit ribosomal RNA", at positions 1561 to 2925 of the family's 2925-position model. The record is from RNAcentral.